UGGUGGAGCGAUUUGUCUGGUCAAUUCCGAUAACGAGCGAGACUUUAGCCUACUAAAUAGUUCGGGGACCCCCACAAAGGGGCCCCGCUUCAACUUCUUAGAGGGACAGGUGGCGUUUAGCCACACGAGAUUGAGCAAUAACA
Molecule: ribosomal RNA, 143 nt
Filed under: uncultured eukaryote
Lineage: Eukaryota
Description: partial 18S ribosomal RNA
Rfam family: Eukaryotic small subunit ribosomal RNA
Source: RNAcentral